UACAGAGGGUGCAAGCGUUAAUCGGAAUUACUGGGCGUAAAGCGUGCGUAGACGGUUAUUUAAGUCAGGUGUGAAAGCCCCGGGCUCAACCUGGGAAUUGCAUUUGAGACUGAAUAGCUAGGGUGCGGAAGAGGGAAGCGGAAUUUCCGGUGUAGCGGUGAAAUGCGUAGAUAUCAGGAGGAACACCGGUGGCGAAGGCGGGUCUCUGGGCCGAUACUGACGCUGAGGAGCGAAAGCGUGGGGAGCGAACAGG
This 253-nucleotide ribosomal RNA is filed under the name uncultured bacterium. Its description in RNAcentral is "partial 16S ribosomal RNA". It matches the Rfam family "Bacterial small subunit ribosomal RNA", at positions 524 to 776 of the family's 1533-position model. The record is from RNAcentral.